GUAUGGAUCAGUGUCCCCUGCCACAGCAAAUUCUAGCCCACAUCACCGGCUGACCUCUAUGUCUGUAAGCUGCUGGCAGUGAAGUGGUUUGUGCAUCU
RNAcentral lists this small nucleolar RNA (98 nucleotides) under Chinchilla lanigera (long-tailed chinchilla). Its description in RNAcentral is "Small nucleolar RNA SNORA42/SNORA80 family (ENSCLAG00000018973.1)". The record is from RNAcentral. Lineage: Eukaryota; Metazoa; Chordata; Mammalia; Rodentia; Chinchillidae.